ACGCUCGACACCUACAGGAGGCAGCAGUCGGGAAUAUUGCGCAAUGGAGGAAACUCUGACGCAGUGACGCCGCGUGCAGGAAGAAGGUUUUCGGAUUGUAAACUGCUUUAGACAGGGAAGAAAAAAGACAGUACCUGUAGAAUAAGCUCCGGCUAACUACGUGCCAGCAGACGCGGUAAUCUGAGCGGGCUGGCAAGGC
This 199-nucleotide ribosomal RNA is filed under the name uncultured bacterium. Its description in RNAcentral is "partial 16S ribosomal RNA". It matches the Rfam family "Bacterial small subunit ribosomal RNA", at positions 328 to 539 of the family's 1533-position model. The record is from RNAcentral.